This 367-nucleotide ribosomal RNA is filed under the name uncultured bacterium. Its description in RNAcentral is "bacterial SSU rRNA". It matches the Rfam family "Bacterial small subunit ribosomal RNA", at positions 525 to 896 of the family's 1533-position model. The record is from RNAcentral.
ACGGAGGAUCCAAGCGUUAUCCGGAAUCAUUGGGUUUAAAGGGUCCGUAGGCGGCUUAAUAAGUCAGUGGUGAAAGCCCUACGCUUAACGUAGGAACGGCCAUUGAUACUGUUAGGCUUGAAUUAUUAGGAAGUAACUAGAAUAUGUAGUGUAGCGGUGAAAUGCUUAGAGAUUACAUGGAAUACCAAUUGCGAAGGCAGGUUACUACUAAUGGAUUGACGCUGAUGGACGAAAGCGUGGGUAGCGAACAGGAUUAGAUACCCUGGUAGUCCACGCCGUAAACGAUGGAUACUAGCUGUUGGGAGCAAUCUCAGUGGCUAAGCGAAAGUGAUAAGUAUCCCACCUGGGGAGUACGUUCGCAAGAAUG